Molecule: non-coding RNA, 3246 nt
Organism: Cucurbita pepo subsp. pepo (vegetable marrow)
Lineage: Eukaryota; Viridiplantae; Streptophyta; Magnoliopsida; Cucurbitales; Cucurbitaceae
Source: RefSeq, a predicted model, not a curated record
CACAGAGUUACAGAGCUCUACAAAGUUUCAGUCUCCUUUCUGCUUGAACACUGUGCUUCUUCAAUUCAAAGCUCUUUCAUCAUCGCCAUGGGUUUCUUCGACCUCAACAUACCUUACGACGAGCAUUCAUCAUCAUCAUCAUUAUCAUCAUCAUUAUCAUCAUCAUCUUCGUCUUAUUCUUCAAGUAGGAAUCGCAUCAGGAUUGUGGCCAAACUCAUGGAGCUCGGCUACUCUGGUAUCGCCUACAACCGUACAAUCAAAGGAGUGAUGUCCGAUCGAGACCGUUGUUCUAUUCCCCUCCUCAACGUCUCAUCUCUUCACAGUAUCCUUCCAUCCUUCUCCGCCUCCGUAGAGUUCCAUCGGGAUCUCCUCGGCGUCCCACGGUCCUCUCGUUUCCGGCAGUACACGCGUCUUACUAUUUCUGUUAACAGUUUGCACGAGGUUAUGGCUGUCAAUUCUGACAACCUUAUUCUGAAGACCUACGAUUUGAUUGCUGUGAAGCCUCUUAAUCAGUAUUCCUUCGAGCAGGCUUGCGAGAAAUUGGAGAUAGAUAUAAUUGCCAUUGAUUUUGCGGAGAAACUGCCUUUCAGCUUGAAGCAAGGUCCGAUUAAAUCUGCAAUUCAGCGUGGAGUUUACUUCGAAAUCAUGUACGCUGAUCUCCUUUCCGAUGUUCAUGAUAGGAGGCAAACGAUAUCCGCUGCUAAGAUCUUGGUGGAUUGGACUAAAGGAAAGAAUCUCAUAUUAUCCAGUGCUGCCCCCUCUGUAAAUGAAAUCAGAGGACCUUACGAUGUCGCAAACUUGUCAUCAUUGCUAGGUGUCUCUAUGGAAUGCGCAAAAGCUGCUGUUUCAAAGAACAGUAGGAAUCUUAUAGCUAAUGCUCUAAAGAGAAAGCAAUUCUACAAGGAAACCAUUCCAGUUGAAAGGAUAUCAUCAGAUGAUAAAUUAGAUCUGAAUGACCCUUUGUCAGCGGAUUUGUUCAAAUGGGAUCCUAUAUCAGGUGGUGAAGGUGAUUUUGUAUUGGAUGAUAUAGCAAAAUCUUUUGCUGCCUCUAAUAAAAAAUUGAGAGGUGCGAAAGCCAUUGACGACGUGCCACCUCAAGGUUUUCUAGUCAAGAAUGUAAUAUCAGGCUCUAAGGAAAAACUGUUGUUGAAUGAGAAAGGCAAAAGCACUGUUGAAGAAAUUGCGCAGCCAAAGACCUCAAAGAUGGAAGAACCUAUUGAAAUGGACAUUGAUAACGUGCAAUUGAAAAACCCACUACCCAGUAGCGAGUUAAGUGCAGUAUCAGCAAAUGAGCUUCUGAAUUCUCCUACAUCUACCAGAGAUGUAUCAGCUGUAGUUUUCGGAAAUGACAGAAAAGAAACUUCUAAAAUGGAGGCUGUUGAUUCUCAUCAGUAUGAAUAUGGUCUAAAAAGUUCUGAUAUAUUGACUGGUUCAGAAAAUAUGUUGAGGGACAAAACUUCUACUAAUUUGGUUUCAGAAAAUCAAAAGAAUGUGAUAAUGGACGGUACAUUUACAACUGAAGAAUGUUUACUCGAUGCAAGAGUUGGGAAGCCUGGGGAUGUGGCAAUGGCUGAUUGUCAGGUUUCUCCUCUUGGUUUGAAAGAUGAUCAUUUGAUCUCGAUUCGACAAAAAACAUCUGAGGUGUUAAUGGAAGAGCAGAAAAGUGGAGAAGCUGAUCCAGAGAUCACACAACCACCUUCCGAUCAGUAGUGUAUAUCUGGUGUGUUGUCAACAGUAAACGCAGGGAAAUGCCCGUCGAAAGGAGAAGACAUCAUUCAGUGUCAAAGCUUUCGCUUGGGGUUAAUCAACCCUCUGGCCUUCAAGAAAGCCCAUGAAACGUAUACAGAGAAGUAGUGAUCAAAACGGAGGAGACAUCACCCAGUGCUAUUGCUUCCGUUCAAGCGCUCAAUCAAUCUGCUAGCCUUCAAGAAGAAGAGGCCAUGGCUAAGCCAGAGAAGUUGGGGCUCAUUAUCAGUCUAAUGAACCAACCAAUUGACCCACCAGGGGAUCCAAACUGUAGGAGGCUUGGAAUUCCAUGAAUCUUCCCCGCUGCUUGUAAAGCCGCAAAGCACUUCAUUGCUGGCAACACACAUGGUUGUCGUUGUACCUUGCGAAUCGUCCUCUGAUCCUUGGUCGACUAUCGGCUAGCGAUUUCCUACAAGCAUACUUUAACCACACCCAUAUAUUAGUGUGAAUUACUUUAACAACACUCAUGUAAUCUAUGGAUGUAAAGAGAGAACUUUCGCCACCAUUUAGAUUAAGUGUGAUGAUUUUAGCAAAUAUUUUCAUGGUAUCAUAACCCCUUUAGUUUAGCAAUCCUGAUCAUUUCUUCACCGGCUUCCAAAUCCUCUUCUCAUCUACUUCCUAACACUCUAAUCCAUUUGAUCAUCCUCAAGCUUUAUUCAUCAAAUUAUCUUAUUUGGAAAAACCAACUUCUCCUUCUCAUUGAGAGUCGGGACAUGUUGGAUUACGUUGAUGGAACUCUAGUUUCACCACCUUGCUUUGAACCAGCAACCUCCUCAACACUCAUUUGGUGUGGAAAGUAACCCAUCAAUGACUUUUUUGUCUCUUGCUCUCCUCUCUCACCGAGGAAGUCAUUGUUGUUGUGGUUGGUCUCUUCAUUGCCCGUGAUGUUUGGUUCACGUUAGAGACUAUGUUUAGCCAUAAUUCGAAAGUACACUUGUUCCUUCGUGGACUCAAAUCGAUUUCUUAACCUUUUCUACUGCUCAAAUGGCUAUGAUAUCACGAGAAUAUUUGCUAAAACCAUCACACCUAAACAAUGGUAAAAGUUCUCAAAUCGAUUUCUCAACCUUUUCUACUGCUCAAAUGGCUAUGAUACCACGAGAAUAUUUGCUAAACCAUCACAUCUAAACGAUGGUAAAAGUUCUCUAUUUAUAAUCAUUGACCGAAUAAAAGGAAGUGGAGAGAGCACUAAAUGGAUACAGGAUAUUAGCCUAUGAUCAAAGGUCAAAUAUGAUUCAUAGGAUUUGAUCAUCUCAUUUCUUGGACUACUUUUAGGAUGAUUUUAAAUUAUGGCUUUUCCAUCGUUCCCUUCCAAAUAUUGAAACGACCUUUUAACCUAAAGUGAGAGAGAUCGAUAUGACAAGCGAAAAAAUCACGAUAAUGUGAAAGUAACAACAAUAUUAGCUUAUAGUUGUUGGCACAUAGAAUCUAGGAAACAGUAUGUAGGCAGAAUAAUAUUGUGUAGAAUUAAUCCAUAAUUUCAAGUAGAAGACUUUACCUUGA